AAAGAGAUUUGGGGAUAAGGUUUCCCCCCUCCCGCCUCCUAAUUUGUGGUUUUUUUUUAAUCUGCUGGAUUCCUGCCUCAGUGACCUUUUAAAGCACUUUUAGGUCCUUGGGCUGGGACGAGAAUCGCUGCUUUGACCGACAGGAAUGAAAGAAUUCUUUCACUCCAUUGGGUGGAAAACAGUGGCUGAGUUGCUCCAGAACAAUUCCACCUCAUUUCAGGGGGGGAAAAGGAACUGAAGCAAGUGUCAGUCCUGAAGCAUCAUCCAUCCUGUUGUGUCAUGGAGGCGCCAAUAAUCAGAUUGUGAG
This 307-nucleotide long non-coding RNA is filed under the name Naja naja (Indian cobra). RNAcentral's name for it is "lncRNA (ENSNNAG00000014474.1)". The record is from RNAcentral. Lineage: Eukaryota; Metazoa; Chordata; Lepidosauria; Squamata; Elapidae.